Molecule: ribosomal RNA, 442 nt
Filed under: uncultured bacterium
Lineage: Bacteria
Description: partial 16S ribosomal RNA
Rfam family: Bacterial small subunit ribosomal RNA
Source: RNAcentral
CCUACGGGGGGCAGCAGUAGGGAAUCUUUCACAAUGGGCGAAAGCCUGAUGGAGCAACGCCGCGUGCAGGAUGAAGGCCUUCGGGUUGUAAACUGCUUUUAUAAGCGAGAAAUAUGAUGGUAACUUAUGAAUAAAGAUCGGCUAACUACGUGCCAGCAGCCGCGGUCAUACGUAGGAUCCGAGCAUUAUCCGGAGUGACUGGGUGUAAAGAGUUGCGUAGGUGGCUUAAUAAGUAGCUAGUGAAAUCUGGUGGCUCAACCAUUCAGACUAUUAGCUAAACUGUUAAGCUCGAGACCGUUAGGGGUAACUGGAAUUUCUAGUGUAGGAGUGAAAUCCGUAGAUAUUAGAAGGAACACCAAUAGCGUAGGCAGGUUGCUGGGACGGUUCUGACACUAAGGCACGAAAGCGUAGGGAGCAAACGGGAUUAGAUACCCCGGUAGUC